GACGAACCGUGCGAUCGUUGUUCGGAAUCACUGGGCUUAAAGGGCGCGUAGGCGGGCUGUCAAGUCUGGGGUGAAAUGCCGCGGCUCAACCGUGGAACUGCCUUAGAUACUGACGGCCUCGAGGAAGGUAGGGGCAUGCGGAACUGUAGGUGGAGCGGUGAAAUGCGUUGAUAUCUACAGGAACUCCGGUGGCGAAAGCGGCGUGCUGGACCUUUUCUGACGCUGAGGCGCGAAAGCUAGGGGAGCAAACGGG
This 253-nucleotide ribosomal RNA is filed under the name uncultured bacterium. RNAcentral describes it as "partial 16S ribosomal RNA". It matches the Rfam family "Bacterial small subunit ribosomal RNA", at positions 524 to 776 of the family's 1533-position model. The record is from RNAcentral.